AGAGCGAACGCUGGCGGCAGGCCUAAAACAUGCAAGUCGAACGGAUCCUUCGGGAUUAGUGGCGGACGGGUGAGUAACACGUGGGAACGUGCCUUUUGGUUCGGAACAACUCAGGGAAACUUGAGCUAAUACCGAAUGUGCCCUUCGGGGGAAAGAUUUAUCGCCAUUAGAGCGGCCCGCGUCUGAUUAGCUAGUUGGUGAGGUAAAGGCUCACCAAGGCUACGAUCAGUAGCUGGUCUGAGAGGAUGAUCAGCCACACUGGGACUGAGACACGGCCCAGACUCCUACGGGAGGCAGCAGUUAGGAAUCUUGCGCAAUGGGGGAAACCCUGACGCAGCCAUGCCGCGUGAAUGAUGAAGGUCUUAGGAUUGUAAAAUUCUUUCAGCGGGGACGAUAAUGACGGUACCCGCAGAAGAAGCUCCGGCUAACUUCGUGCCAGCAGCCGC
This 446-nucleotide ribosomal RNA is filed under the name uncultured bacterium. Its description in RNAcentral is "SSU rRNA". It matches the Rfam family "Bacterial small subunit ribosomal RNA", at positions 26 to 518 of the family's 1533-position model. The record is from RNAcentral.